Long non-coding RNA from Homo sapiens (human), 2075 nucleotides. Ensembl annotates it as SVIL antisense RNA 1. Its record names the gene SVIL-AS1. The record is from Ensembl. NCBI's taxonomy places the organism in Eukaryota, Metazoa, Chordata, Mammalia, Primates, Hominidae.
GAAUUCUGGGAGUGCGCGGCCUUGGAGCGCGCACAUGCGCGGCAGCUCCCGCUGCUGAAUAGCUGAGAGGCGCACCCGGGCGGCCAGCUGGGCUCGGAGUGCAGCGGGGUUAGGAUGGACGAGGACGUGUUGCACCCUGAAGAGCCUCAUCAUCGGUGAGAGUGGGGUGGGCAAGUCCAGCCUGCUCUUGAGGUUCACAGAUGAUACCUUUGAUCCAGAACUUGCAGCAACAAUAGGAGCAAUGGAAGGAACUUCUAGAGUCCCCUCUCUUUCCUGCCUCUUCUACAUUUCCACAGACUGCACACUCACGGCAGCAGCCUCUCAGCACACAAAAGGAACGUAGGAACCGUGAAGGGCGUGAUGAGCUGACCAUAACGCCGGCUCCUUUCUGCCUUUGGUGCUAAAGAUGGAAGGUUCCGGCACCUGCUCUCCUGGGUACCUCUCCGUCAGCAAGGCUAGAGCUACUCCGUGCAGCAAGCGCCCCUGUUCAGGCCCCACGUGUCAUGACUGUCUGUCCUUCUCCAAGGCAGCAUUCAGACACCCCGCAAGCAGUGGGCAUGUCAAGCCUCCUCAGCUACUGGGGGAAUCCCUCAAGACAGACCAGGUUUAAGGCGCCUCACCCACCACAUCUGAGCACAGCCGGCGGGUGACUGAAAACAGUGCCAGCCCUCGGGAAGGAACGAACCGAGGGGUCGUCAGAGGCUGUCUGAGAAACACCUGACCUCAACAGAACCUGAGAUUGCCCAGUGUGGGCUACAAAGGCCUAAAAUAGAUCCGCUUAUUUUAGCUUCAAAGAGCUUAUUGUCUCCAGCCAAAGGGAAGCAGGCCACUGAGAAGAGUGGGAGAGUUCACCGUCUGCAGAAACAGCAGCCUCCACGCGCCCAGAGGCAGCAUUUCCCAUUCCAGCCCUAGCCUGCUUGCAAGUCCCGGGGCUUCAGGUCACUGGAUUAUCAACCCCAAGGGCAACUGCAGUCAACUGGCCUCUCUUGCCUUCUAAAAACCUUAGCCAGCGUUCAGGUGGUUCGGAUCUCAUCCUCCACUCAAAGCCUUCUGGCUUCCACACCUAAGGUGAUCCUCCAUUCUUCUAAGGGGGCAGUGCACCCAUUUCACUAUUCACCAGGAACCUCUUUUGCUUCGUGCUUUUUGGCUUCAUUUAAAUUUCCACUGGCUCUCUGGGACUCCCAGUUCCUGAUGGGCCGGGGAGUCUCUGCACCUUCCAAAAUGAUGGACAAGGGGCCAGGCGCUGCUUGGUGCCAGGACAUAGUAGUUGGCAGGUUUGCUAAUGAGGAAUGUGUUAAAGUCAUUUUUGAAGCAAUGAUUUCAAGAUUCUUUUAAAUAAAGUUUGCGGGUAGCAGGGAUACAUAAUUUGACAGAUGGAUUUUCACUUCAGGAUCACAUUUUUGAAAUCUGAAUUUCACACGGUGUGUGAAAAAUAUGCACAUGCAUAUACUUUCUAAAUAUCUAGUUAUAUUUGAGAAUUUUACAAAUGGCCAAGGCUUAAAUGUCUUUAGUUAAAUCAUCUUUAACACCAUGUAUGUCUCAAAGAAGAGAAUUCAAAUUGCCAUUCCAGUGAAACCUAAGAAGACACAGAAGUAUCAGAGGAAAUAGUGUCAGAACUCCUGACUCACACUUCUAUGUGCACAUCUCAUUUUUAUGUACGUUUCUUAAUGCAUGAAAGUCACACUCAUCAUCUCUCCCUUCCACAGAUGCUUAACUUAUUUUAGAGCUAGAAGGGGCCUGGGGAUCAUCGGGUUGAAAGCAUUCUUUUUCUUUUCUACUUGAAGACUUCUGAUCCUAGAAAGUGACCAGGGAGUGUGUCACCGGUGCAUCAUUUCGCCUCCAGCCAGAAGGUGCAUUUGCAAUUGUAGGGCCAGCCAGCAAGUAAGUCACCAUCAGUUUCAAAAGUGUGCACUACCUGGUCAAAAGCUGGUCAUCAUCACAUCUGUGAUUUAACAAUUCAUCAAUACUUUCGCAUAUGAAAUGCUUGCUAGUAUUGAUCACCAUGCAUUACCUAAUUUUGUUUCAACUUAUACAUUACUGUACAUUCUCAAUAAAAGGCAUAGCUACUCAUGAAA